This 557-nucleotide ribosomal RNA is filed under the name uncultured bacterium. Its description in RNAcentral is "bacterial SSU rRNA". It matches the Rfam family "Bacterial small subunit ribosomal RNA", at positions 102 to 694 of the family's 1533-position model. The record is from RNAcentral.
ACGGGUGAGUAACGCGUGGGAACAUACCCUUUUCUACGGAAUAGCUCUGGGAAACUGGAAUUAAUACCGUAUACGCCCUACGGGGGAAAGAUUUAUCGGGGAAGGAUUGGCCCGCGUUGGAUUAGCUAGUUGGUGGGGUAAAGGCCUACCAAGGCGACGAUCCAUAGCUGGUCUGAGAGGAUGAUCAGCCACAUUGGGACUGAGACACGGCCCAAACUCCUACGGGAGGCGGCAGUGGGGAAUAUUGGACAAUGGGCGCAAGCCUGAUCCAGCCAUGCCGCGUGAGUGAUGAAGGCCUUAGGGUUGUAAAGCUCUUUCACCGAUGAAGAUAAUGACGGUAGUCGGAGAAGAAGCCCCGGCUAACUUCGUGCCAGCAGCCGCGGUAAUACGAAGGGGGCUAGCGUUGUUCGGAAUUACUGGGCGUAAAGCGCACGUAGGCGGAUAUUUAAGUCAGGGGUGAAAUCCCAGAGCUCAACUCUGGAACUGCCUUUGAUACUGGGUAUCUUGAGUAUGGAAGAGGUAAGUGGAAUUGCGAGUGUAGAGGUGAAAUUCGUAGA